GACGAACGCUGGCGGCGUGCUUAACACAUGCAAGUCGAACGGAAAGGCCCUGCUUUUGUGGGGUGCUCGAGUGGCGAACGGGUGAGUAACACGUGAGUAACCUGCCCUUGACUUUGGGAUAACUUCAGGAAACUGGGGCUAAUAUCGGAUAGGAGCUCCUGCUGCAUGGUGGGGGUUGGAAAGUUUCGGCGGUUGGGGAUGGACUCGCGGCUUAUCAGCUUGUUGGUGGGGUAGUGGCUUACCAAGGCUUUGACGGGUAGCCGGCCUGAGAGGGUGACCGGCCACAAUGGGACUGAGAUACGGCCCAGACUCCUACGGGAGGCAGCAGUGGGGAAUAUUGCACAAUGGGCGGAAGCCUGAUGCAGCAACGCCGCGUGCGGGAUGACGGCCUUCGGGUUGUAAACCGCUUUCGCCUGUGACGAAGCGUGAGUGACGGUAAUGGGUAAAGAAGCACCGGCUAACUACGUG
RNAcentral lists this ribosomal RNA (468 nucleotides) under uncultured bacterium. RNAcentral describes it as "partial 16S ribosomal RNA". It matches the Rfam family "Bacterial small subunit ribosomal RNA", at positions 28 to 507 of the family's 1533-position model. The record is from RNAcentral.